This 128-nucleotide non-coding RNA is filed under the name uncultured Selenomonas sp. Its description in RNAcentral is "glmS glucosamine-6-phosphate activated ribozyme". It matches the Rfam family "glmS glucosamine-6-phosphate activated ribozyme aptamer", at positions 11 to 155 of the family's 167-position model. From Rfam's summary of the family: This entry contains a glucosamine-6-phosphate activated ribozyme that is found in the mRNA for GlmS. GlmS is an enzyme that uses fructose-6-phosphate and glutamine to generate glucosamine-6-phosphate. The record is from RNAcentral. Lineage: Bacteria; Bacillati; Bacillota; Negativicutes; Selenomonadales; Selenomonadaceae.
UAGCGCUAGAUCUUGCGGGAAUCGCAAGGAGACGAGGAAGAGGUUGUCGAACAUUCAGCGGAUGCCUCUCGGCUGCAUCGGUCGUAAAAAGCUGCAAAGCCCCUUGGUGACGAGGGGGACAAGGCAGU